Molecule: ribosomal RNA, 429 nt
Filed under: Chloroflexota bacterium
Lineage: Bacteria; Bacillati; Chloroflexota
Description: Chloroflexi bacterium partial 16S ribosomal RNA
Rfam family: Bacterial small subunit ribosomal RNA
Source: RNAcentral
UGGGGAAUAUUGCACAAUGGGCGCAAGCCUGAUGCAGCCAUGCCGCGUGUGUGAAGAAGGCCUUCGGGUUGUAAAGCACUUUCAGCGGGGAGGAAGGCGAUAAGGUUAAUAACCUUGUCGAUUGACGUUACCCGCAGAAGAAGCACCGGCUAACUCCGUGCCAGCAGCCGCGGUAAUACGGAGGGUGCAAGCGGUAAUCGGAAUUACUGGGCGUAAAGCGCACGCAGGCGGUCUGUCAAGUCGGAUGUGAAAUCCCCGUUCUCAACCUGUGAACUGCAUUCGAAACUGGCAGUCUAGAGUCUUGUAGAGUGGGGUAGAAUUCCAGGUGUAGCGGUGACAUGCGUAGAGAUCUUGAGGAAUACCGGUGGCGAAGGCGGCCCCCUGGACAAAGACUGACGCUCAGGUGCGAAAGCGUGGGGAGCAAACAGG